Molecule: transfer RNA, 73 nt
Filed under: Synechococcaceae cyanobacterium RL_1_2
Lineage: Bacteria; Bacillati; Cyanobacteriota; Cyanophyceae; Synechococcales; Synechococcaceae
Description: tRNA-His
Rfam family: tRNA
About the family: Transfer RNA (tRNA) molecules are approximately 80 nucleotides in length.
Source: RNAcentral
GCGAGUGUAGCCAAGUGGUUAAGGCAGUGGUUUGUGGUCACCAUCAGUCGUGCGGAUCGACCCGUCAUUCGCC